GGAAGUUCGAUCCUUGCGCGGCCGCGGGUGGAAUCGUGGUUCGAGAGUACGUAUUAAACUUUAUCGUAUCUCAUUUACGAGAGUGGUAAUUAAAAAUGUUUAGCGGAGCGUUCAAUGCGCGGAAAUGGAGGAUCGCGUCCUUGGAAGGGAGUCGAGGUUCACGCAGUAUCGAAGGAAUCGCCCGUCGUGCACCGGUCGUCCGCAGGAUAAAAUGACGUUACUGAAGGCGAUGAUCUUAGGCUGAGAGCCGCACUUGAAGCUUGUAUUCUCGAGGACAACACUCGACGGGCAGAAAUCCCGGAUGCACACAACUGAGAACCAUUGCCCUUAAUUCUGCAGUCUCUGAGAGCUUUGACGCCAAUAGAAACUUUGAAGAAUAAACAGCUUCCAAGGGGAGACGCAACUUUACACAUCAUAACACACACACACACACACACACACACUUUAAUACAGAAAUAAUGCGCUUUCUCUCUCCUUCCUAAUGCCUUGCUCUCCCUUUCUAUCUUUUUGUUAUAUUUUAUGUAUAAUAUAAUAAAUAUAUUUUUUAAUCACAAA
Monomorium pharaonis (pharaoh ant) is the source of this 555-nucleotide long non-coding RNA. RefSeq lists it as uncharacterized. Lineage: Eukaryota; Metazoa; Arthropoda; Insecta; Hymenoptera; Formicidae. The record is from RefSeq and is a predicted model, not a curated record. The transcript has 2 exons.